Molecule: non-coding RNA, 69 nt
Organism: Podarcis lilfordi (Lilford's wall lizard)
Lineage: Eukaryota; Metazoa; Chordata; Lepidosauria; Squamata; Lacertidae
Source: the annotation of a GenBank genome assembly
GACAUAGCUCAGUGGUAGAGCAUCCGUCUUACAUGCAGAAGAUUCCAGGUUCGAUCCCUGGGAUCUCCA